CCGAGUUAUAACAACUCCCAACCCUUGCGCAUCGUACCCAAGCCUGUUCUCGUUGCUUCCUGGCGGGGGCGCGCGCCCGCGCGCGCGCCCGCCGCCAGGGGCGGCGAGCCUCGCCGAACCUAUUUUCUAAACAAAGAACACGAGAGCGCGUCUGAGCAAACACAAAAACAGUCA
This 174-nucleotide unclassified non-coding RNA is filed under the name Masuyamyces acarorum. RNAcentral's name for it is "Ophiostoma acarorum internal trancribed spacer 1". Lineage: Eukaryota; Fungi; Ascomycota; Sordariomycetes; Ophiostomatales; Ophiostomataceae. The record is from RNAcentral.